Molecule: long non-coding RNA, 3781 nt
Organism: Strigops habroptila (Kakapo)
Lineage: Eukaryota; Metazoa; Chordata; Aves; Psittaciformes; Psittacidae
Source: Ensembl
UAAUCUUCAAACAAAAUUUAUUUUAGAAAUAAGACAUAAAAGGAACAGUGCUCCAUAAUUCAAUAUGAAAGGAAAAAUAUAUAUUAAAAAUAUUUGUUAAAAAGAUUUUACAAAUAAUACUUAAGACCAGGAAUUACCAUAAAUCUAUGUUUUAUGGUAAAAUGGGAAAUCACUGAAAAUGUGUAACCAAAAACCCCCGCAGCAUUACAGUUUAUGUUAAAAAAAUAAUUCUAUUUACAUCACAAACCAGCUCUGUUUCUGACAGCACCUACUGCCCUUCAACUGUCCUUCACUCAUAUUCAGAAGGAUUUAAAGCUUCCAAAGUCCAAUAUAUUUUCUGAUAUGACAGGCAGCUUUCAUACAAACUGCAGAUUGUGUGCCAUAGCUUUUCCUUGGAGUGACUCACUUGAUAUCAGGGCAUAUCUGAGAUCAAGUGGCAUUGAGCUUUGGUAGACACACAUCCAUAGGAAAUCCAGGUAUUGACAGUAUGACACAGGAUGCAGAACAGCAAACCUGAGAUCAGUCUUUGGCUGCUGGCACUGUAGGGCUAAAAGCAGCGAUGUGAUUAAUUUACUCUGUAAAACUGGCAACAAAUAAAGUACUAUUCUUUUUGCUGAGCCACACAUAGCACUGUAACUAACCAAAACCAGGCUCUAGGACUUGACUGAUAGACACAGACCUGUUUAGACAGGGGUGGCAACGUGCACUGGAUAGAAGGAAGAAUCUCUUCAGAAGUUUACUGAGAUGAUAGUGAGUAAUAAUAAUUGCAGUCUAAAGUAUAAUAAAAAAACCUUAGAAAGUAUGACUGAUAUUCCAAAGACAAUAAUCGUGAGUUGACAAUUUCAAAAGCACCAUUUGCUCAACUCAGUGAUUUUUGCUAUUCAUUUACUCUGACUUGUAUGCAGAGAACAGUAUUUCUGUAGGUGAAAACAUCUGAGAAACAGAGUUGGUUUUGACACAUGUACACCUAGCUUUGACUUAGGAUGUUAAUAUUCAUUUAAAAAACCCGAAACUGAAUAUGGAAUGUUUUUGACUGGUCUGCAUUUAGCCUUCACAUCAUUGAAAAGUGUAGAAAUAUACAUUCAGCACAUAUACAAAUUUGGUCACUAUGCAUUAGGCUUUCCUGACACUUUUAUGAACCCAUUUAACCAUCAGAAGGAACUGAGCUCUCUCAGCAAGUCAUAUGCCAGUCUAUGAAAGAAUUGACUUUUUUUAAAGUGAUACUUACAUGUAAAGGAAAAAACCCAAACAAUCCAAACAGAGGAAAAACAUGAAACUGAACCACUUAACAGGUCGCUGGCUUUUCCCUUAGUGCAUUUGGAGAGUUAUUAUAUUUGGUUGUGCUAACUCAGGAAAGAACUAAAAGAGAUUAUCAAUUUGGACCAAUAAACUGCUUGAUAUACUUCCUAUUUCAUGCAUGUAACUUUUUUUUUUUAAGCUUUCAAACCAUCCUAGAUUCUUUUAGAAUUAUUGAUUGAUAGACUAGGAUGAUGUGACCAGUGAAAUAUUAGGAAAAAUGUAGACCUUCAGCUCGGUUAAAAGCAAAACAACCAGCAAUCUCACAAAAAAUACUUUUCUCUGCAAGCACAUAACUGGCAUGUUUAAAUUAAAAGGUAUUUAUAAAAGGUUCUCUUCAUACUCAGUGUAAGAAUGUAGGCACUUCUAGAGGGCAUGCUGUCCUAACAUCAGAAUAACCUGCUAUAAUAUGCCUUUUCACUACCAGAGUGAAAACUGAGGGCAAAUAUAUGUCCUCUUGAGAUGACUAAGUUACAUGCUUAAGGUUAGAUUAGAUUAACUUAGUUCAGUAUCUCAACUCAGUAUCCCUUGAUCCAAAAAAAGAAAAAAAAAGGGGGGGGGGGUGAAGGAAAAAAGAGUAAAAUGCAAUAUAAGCAUUGAAAUUAUUUGGUGCCUUUCUUGUUCAAACAUUGAUUUUAUGUAUGAGUCUUCUCACCAAGGAAAUCCAACCGAAUUAUCACAAAAACCAGAAAUCUAAAGAUUCAAACACCAAAGAAAAAAUUAGAACCUGAAGGUCUAUGAAAUCCUACUACCUUCCUGACAAACAACUCUUCUAGGCUAAAGGGUUAUUAUACUUAACCAAUACCUUUGAAUGCUUCUUAUCGCCCGUUUAAGCAAACAACUUUAACAGCAACAAGUAGGACCAAUCUUUGUUACACUAAAAACUUCUUGAAUAAAUUCUUACUAUGUUAGGAAUGUACUUUCAACCCAAGGCAACUGGCUGAAUCGUGGUAUUGAGUCAAUAAAUAUCACUACUGUAUGUCUAACCACUGAAAGUGUUGGGUUUUUAGUUGAAACAUAAAUGCUGCAAGGGUAUGAUAAAUAGGAAUAGCAAAAUUGUCUUAUAGAUACAUAAACUUCCUCCCAAGAAAAUGAUUUCAUUAACAGAAAUGAAAAAUCUUCUGUAACAGUCAUAGCUAUAAUUAUGCAAUACAAUAUGCUGAAUUACAAUACGUACUUCAUUAUUAAUAGAAUUUAUUUUACAGAUCAAAUAGCCAAAUACACAUUUUUAAAAGAGCCAGAUAGCAAAUGUGGAGCAAACUAUAGGCAACAGUCAUGGUAGACAUUCUGCAGUCCAAGAACUGAGGCAACGUGAUUAUUAAGUACAAGCCUAUAAAUAUCUUUACAUCAAACAUAUAGUAAUGUGUAAGAAUUCCACGUUGUAGUCUAAUUCAUGAAUCAUUAAUAACUUUUUCUUUAAAAGAAAGUUAUAUAUACUGUAUACAUCCCAGUUAAAAGCAGUGUCUGUAUUUCAUUUUAUUCUAGCAAACUAAUAUUACAUGUCUUCAUAUAAGUGCAGAAAACAGGGUUCUUUAUACUCCUUUGCUUCCUAAGAGAUUUUGCAUUGCAUAUGAAAUUCUAAUAUUAUAGAUGAUACAUAUUAAGCAUUACUCCCUAAAAUGUGAGGCAAUACACAAGAACUUGCAACCAACCUGCAAACGAAGCUACAAGACUCAAAUUUUAUUUUUUAGAUGAGUCGUGCUAAAUAACAAAUUAUCAUGUAGAAAAUUUUAAUUUUUAAAAAGUUAACUACACAGAGAAAUAACUGGGGGGGGAAGUGGAAGGGGGUAUCAACAUUAGGCCAUUUUCUCCCCCAUGUGCUGGCUAACAGUGAAAAAAUGGUGUAUGCUAUUUCCUACUUUAUCACACUGAAAACCAAGUCACUGGACUUAGGACUCUUUCGUUUUAAAUAAAAGUACUUCAAAAGGUUAAAUGUAUGGCAGUUUUACACAGACAUUAGCCAGACUUCAGCAAGCAAAAUGAAAAUUAGAUUUUAUUUUUAAAAGUUACGUGAAUACUUUCCAGUUAUUUAAAAGGUGAUCAUUUAUUUAUUACAAAAUGUUGUGGAUAAGAAAGCAGGAAGUACUCAUUUUUCACUACUACUACUGUGCCUAUAAAAUGAGAAAGCAGUGAUUUGAUCAAUUCUAUUUAUGAUCCAUAGCAGCAAUAUCAUCAUUAAAAAUAUUAUGGUAUAGAUAUAAAUAACACUUAAUUCUUAACAUGGAUAAUGGUGCUAUAAGUGACAACAAUUCAUUUGUUUUUAUUUUAAAUGCAGGGAGUAUAAAGAACUUUACAUUCUCUUUUUAAUGUAUGAAUAAAAUUUAUUGCUCCCUUUUAAUAUAUUUAUAGAAACAAAGUUCCUAAUUGUUUCAACUAAAAUAAAUAAAGAAAAAAGAAAUCUGGGACAAGAAGAUGAUUACAAGCAAAAUAGAUUUACCAUAAUCACCAACUGUGCAGAAGGAUGGGUCACAUUACUUUUUUCUUA